This is a long non-coding RNA of Helicoverpa zea (corn earworm), 780 nucleotides long. RefSeq lists it as uncharacterized. The transcript has 2 exons. The record is from RefSeq and is a predicted model, not a curated record. NCBI's taxonomy places the organism in Eukaryota, Metazoa, Arthropoda, Insecta, Lepidoptera, Noctuidae.
UUUCUAAUUUAUUUACACAAAACUUAGUCUCUAUAUUAUAUAUUACCAGAGAUAUCGCCAAUUUGUAUAAAAUACUAAGUACUUAGUGAUAUUUCCAUUAAUUUCAGUAAGUUUCACUGCGCAGAACUAUACCAUAAUCCAGUGACAACACUUACCAAAGAAUAAUCUUGCAAUUUUAUGAAACGAUUAGCUUCCAAAAUGAAGAAAAACAAGAAUAAAAAGAAGAAAAGAAAACAGCCAGAUAUGAAAUGCGAAGACGUGGGAGCAGAGAGGUUCUACGUGCAGACUGACGAUGCAGGCAGUUACAGCAUAUGGGAAAUCUUAUGUUUACCCUACUCCAUGUGCUCGAAGGUAUGGGACUUCUGUUCGACCAUCUGCGCCGGCGCCAACCAAUGCAUGAUCUGCCUAAUGUGCAUCCAGUACUGUUGUUGCAAACUACAACGACUAACUACACCAGAUCCCAUCAUAUUCCCGUAUUAUUUCUACAUGUAUUGUCAAGUCAUUGUCUUAACCGUUGGAUUUCUUUUAAUCUGGUUCUUCUUUGGUAAAAGUGUAUUUUUGCCGUUUUUAAGAGCGGUUUAUGAAGCAUUCUUCCCACCGAAAGACUUGAUAAGAAACACUACAAGAGCGUCAUUUAGAAAGUAUUGUUUUAGGAAAGGUGAAGUAUUCAAUACGCCUAUAGCUCAAAACUCCGCGCCUUUGACAACCGGUUCAUCUGUGAUAACUUUUUUAAUAGAAGUUUUUUUAAACCAAGUUUUUCAAUAAAAAUGUGCAAAGAAA